RNAcentral lists this ribosomal RNA (539 nucleotides) under Phaffomyces aff. opuntiae. Its description in RNAcentral is "partial 26S ribosomal RNA". It matches the Rfam family "Eukaryotic large subunit ribosomal RNA", at positions 62 to 648 of the family's 3401-position model. Lineage: Eukaryota; Fungi; Ascomycota; Saccharomycetes; Phaffomycetales; Phaffomycetaceae. The record is from RNAcentral.
AAACCAACAGGGAUUGCCUCAGUAACGGCGAGUGAAGCGGCAAGAGCUCAAAUUUGAAAUCGGUAUUUUAUAUCGAGUUGUAGUUUGAAGGGAGGUCUCUGUGGAAGAGUGAUCGGCGAUGUUCCUUGGAAGAGGACGUGACACAAGGUGAUAAUCCUGUAGCUGUGAUCUCGGACAUAUAUAGAGACCGCCCGAAGAGUCGAGUUGUUUGGGAAUGCAGCUCUAAGUGGGUGGUAAACUCCAUCUAAAGCUAAAUACUAGCGAGAGACCGAUAGCGAACAAGUACAGUGAUGGAAAGAUGAAAAGAACUUUGAAAAGAGAGUGAAAGAGUGCGUGAAAUUGUUGAAAGGGAAGGAUAUUAGGUGAGGCGGGGACUUGGGUUCUGUGGAUUCUCUUGUAGAGUCUAUAAUGCCCUUGUCCAGGCCGGUGUGGGUGGGGAGCGGGUGAUGAAAGCUUCUCUUGGGACGUAGUCUCAGGAGUUGUUAAUAACCCUCCCUCCACCAUGGACAGACGACACCGACACAAUGACCUAACAUCGC